Long non-coding RNA from Saccostrea cuccullata (small rock oyster), 1269 nucleotides. RefSeq lists it as uncharacterized. The record is from RefSeq and is a predicted model, not a curated record. NCBI's taxonomy places the organism in Eukaryota, Metazoa, Mollusca, Bivalvia, Ostreida, Ostreidae. The transcript is spliced from 2 exons.
UUCUCGAAAAAACAUUUUGGGCUCGGCUUACGCCUUGCCCAAUAUGCAUUUUUUCAAGGACCCUUAUAUUUCUGCAUUACCCCUCUAAGUGUCUACAUAGCUACAAAAAAUAAGUGUGAAAUCAGAGAAAAAAAAUUCCUUAAAUAUAAUUCAUUUAGUAGAUAUAUCAUUUGAGUCUAAAUACCGAAAGAAGAAAAGAGAAAAUAUAUAGGGAAUUGGACCUACAUAUAUAUAAAACUCCUGCAUCCCUAGUUAGGCGUUAAACAGAUUGAGUUACCCUGGCCAAUAUUCACAGUUGAGUAAAAUCAUAAAAAAAACACAUAAUAAUUCAUAAGCACAACUUAGUUGAUCUUACAGUUAGAGAAACAUAUAGGCAGCACAAAGAAAAAUAAAUUAAUUUAAAAACAUUUAUUUAUAUAACUUACAUAUAUUGAGAAAAGAAUUGGAAGUUGAAAUAGUUUUACGAUUGAAUGAGUUUUAUUUUUAUAUACGAACAAGGAUUUGUCACAGAUACCAGAUGUAGGAUCUUUUGAUGUCUUAGUUUACCUCAUGCAGAAGUGUCGGUGGAGUUCUGCAUGUGUAUUAAAUUACAAGCAAGGCAAUCAAUGGUUAUUAUCUUCAUAUGGAUAUAUUGGAGCAUGUAGUAUUGUGUUGCCUUCAUUUUCUCAUUGUCCAAGUUUUCUGUGAAAGGCACAGAGACCAAAGCACCGAGGCCUAUACAAAAAUUCCAUACCAAGUGAAAUAAGCAAGAUAGAUAGAAGAUUGAUCAUACCCAACAACCAUCCAUUGUGCCCGCAUUGUAUAAUAUCCACACAUAAAGCGUGCUGGUUUUGAGAUACACACAGAAACUUAGACAUUUAAGAGCAUUGGCAAUUAAUUUUAUUACAAUGUAUAGCAUUGAGUAUUGAAUCAUUAUACAAUGUACAUAAAGAGUAGCUUCAAUUUUAUAACUUUUAACUACUGUGGUUUCAUAAAUUUUCAUUGGCCUCAAUUUUCGUGGAUUUUGUAAAACAUACGUUUUCGAGGAUACGUAAUUUCGUGGACAAAAGCAUUGCCUGUACAAAUGAAUGUCAUAUUUCGUAAUUCAAUGAACAUUUGAAUUCGUGGAUCUGCUCAAUAAUGAAACCCACGAAAAUUGGUGCUCAACGAAUAAUGAUGAAACCACAGUACUACUUUCACUUCAGGACGGUUUAUGUUUGAAACUUUGUAGCACUAAUAGUACAUAAAGUAUUUCUUAUAAGCUACAUUUAAUUUUAAAAGAUAAAGAAU